AUGACACCAUUGACGACGACGUGUUCUCGGCGCGAGCAGCACAACCUCCUCAGCAGCCAUGGCGACAACUGCUACACCAUCGACCGUGGUGUGUUGUGCUUGAUGGGAGCAGCGCGACCUCCUCAGCGCGUCCAUGGCGACGGCUGCGACACCACCGAAGGGGGCGCGUGUUGUUUUCGACAGGAGCACCGCGGCCUCCUUAUCGCCCAUGGCGACAGCUAUGACACCAUCGACGACAGCAAUGUUGCCCCCGAGUCCCGAUGCGAGAAGCGGAACCUCGUCAGCGUCCAUGGCCACUGCUGUGACACCACGUGCUGGAGAGCCAUUUUACUCUCCUCUUCUGUUCAAGCUGGUUCUCCCGGUCGAGAACAUUGGCACGACGCUUGGAUAGUUGAAACCAUCGGCGCAGCGCUUGCGCGGCACCGCGUCGGUGCUUGUCAUUGGCACGGUGAAUACAAGCAGGACGAAUACAUACGUAGACUAGUACUUCCUGCCUUCCGGGUCUAUGGUCUAACAUAUCCACACGGCACAGGGCCAGACUGCCAUCGAUCAACGUCCUGCGGUCCUCCUUGCAUGAAGGAUUAUCAAUCCCCUUUCCCCUCUUCGUCAACCUCCCGCACGGGAAAAAAGGGAGAGGACGAGAACGCGGCCUCCGCCCGCGCCAACCGCCUCGCCUCGUCUUCCGGUUGCAGCACCGCCGCGUGCGCCACCGCCUCGCCUUGUCUUCCCAUUGCAGCGCCACCGCAUGCGCCAUCAUGUUGCCGGCCUGACGCCUCUCGUCGUGCGGCCGUCGGGAUUGCAGCACGGUUACCCGCGAAGAUUCAGCUUCUGCCGUUUGUAGCUCUUCAUUGGCUGGUUCCAACAUGUGGGCGUCGUGGUUGCAGCAGCCCCCGCCAUCGCCGUCUCAGCUCGCCACCAAAACCGGCUUCCACCACCGUGUUCAUCAAAAAGAGCUUCAACAACGAAAAAAGAGGUUUUGCUGGUAGUAGCAAAAACCAAAAACCGUCCCAGCAAAAAUAUAUCUCGGUUCCAGCAAAAAUGCGCCCUCACCAAAGGAAAAGGUGGGGAAAAGAUAGCAGUGUGGUGUGGCUGAGGAUAAGGUGGGGAAAAUGUGUGAUGGGGAAGGCAGCGGUGCAGGGCCACGAGUCAGGUCGCAUGUCGCGAGCGACCGGCCGAAAACUCGGCCUGCGCCCCAGCGUAAAACGUUUCCCAUUCAAAAAACAUGUGGAGGGAAGACGGCGAGCGUGGGAGGAAGGACUAUCCAUCCGGACUCCCCGCGGCCCAUGCAUCCGGAAUUCAUCAGGAUCGACUAAAGAUUACGAUACCAUGGGACAACGGAAGCUCCGUCCUUCCGGGGCCGCCGCCUCCGCAUCUUACUUCCGGAUCAAGAAAGAUCGCCGCCAUUGUUUCUCAAAGAAGAAAAAGAAAAAUCGCCAUCAUCAUCACCACGAAGUCGCCAGCGGCGGCCCAACGGCGUCUCUCUGUGACGACGCCCUCGCCGACAUCUUCACCCGGCUGCCGGGCGCGGCGGCGGUGGUCCGCUGCGCCGCCACGUGCCGGCGCUGGGGCCGCCUCGUGGCCACGAGGGCAGCCGUCAUCUCCUGCUGCCUGCCGCCCCUCGGCCUCUUCCACCAGGAGAAAGAUUGGCCCACCACGCGCGGCAGGGACGCGGCGUCGUCGCCACGGCCGUGUUUUGUCCCGACAGCCUCCGCCGCUCGCUUCCUCUGUGAGGGCCGGGAGCCUUUAGGUGUCGCGGUACCAGAUCAUGGCCACGGGCUCCUCGACCACUCCCGUCCGGUCGCAUGCCGGAACGGCCGCCUCGUUUUGGAGCUCCGUCGCCACCGGCGCCAGGAUCGAGCCACCGACGGCCUCCGGCUCGCCGUGUGUAACCCAAUGACGUCUGACAACAUCGUUCUCAUCCCGCCUUUGGUCUUAGCAGGCAAGAACAAAACGAAGAUACUAAACUACGGCUGCGCGUUGCUCAGCAGCCACGAUCUCUGUCCACCGGGCUGCCGCAACUUCUUCCGUAUUCUGCUCAUCUACAACCACCACCGCGGCGGUGGGCUGUCCACGGUGCUCCGGUGCUACUCCUCGGCCACGGGUCGCUGCCUAGCCGUGGUACACCGCGGGGUGGCAUACUGGGCUCUCGAGCAAGGCGUGUUUGGGGCGCGCCUGGAUCGGACUGACGAGGACCAUAGAAUGGACAUGCACCUGGUGCCGUGUGACACCUCAAAAUUUAGCCCAAAUAACCGCCUGAUGGGCGUCUCAUCGGACAAUCGGCUUUUCUUGAUUGCCUUUCGUGAAAUCGUGCCGAUGAAGCAGAUGGGGAAGCUGAUGGACGUGGCAUACUACCCCCCUGCGAUCAAGCUGCGGUGGUUUGGCGAGAAGAGCGGGAUCUUGUUAUUCACCAUGGGAGAGCGUAGCGGGCACAACGGCACCUACAUGUUGAACCUUCGGGAGGAAGUGGUUGACAAGGUGGCAGGCGAGGGGCACUCUUGGAAGAACCUGCUCGGGUAUGAGAUGGAUAUGGCGGCGUACCUUGCCUCCGUCGGCCAGAGAUCCUUCACUUGA
RNAcentral lists this ribosomal RNA (2571 nucleotides) under Triticum aestivum (bread wheat). RNAcentral describes it as "partial small subunit ribosomal RNA". Lineage: Eukaryota; Viridiplantae; Streptophyta; Magnoliopsida; Poales; Poaceae. The record is from RNAcentral.